UAUUGUUAGUUGCUACCAUUUAGUUGAGCACUCUAGCGAGACUGCCCGGGUUAACCGGGAGGAAGGUGGGGAUGACGUCAAAUCAUCAUGCCCCUUAUGUCUAGGGCUACACACGUGCUACAAUGGCAAGUACAAAGAGAUGCGAUACCGCGAGGUGGAGCUAAACUAUAAAACUUGUCUCAGUUCGGAUUGUAGGCUGAAACUCGCCUACAUGAAGCUGGAGUUGCUAGUAAUCGCGAAUCAGAAUGUCGCGGUGAAUACGUUCCCGGGCCUUGUACACACCGCCCGUCACACCAUGAGAGUUGGCAAUACCCAAAGUUCGUGAGCUAACCCGUAAGGGAGGCAGCGACCUAAGGUAGGGUCAGCGAUUGGGGUGAAGUCGUAACAAGGUAGCCGUAGGAGAACCUGCGGCUGGAUCACCUCCUUUCUAUGGAGA
Molecule: ribosomal RNA, 436 nt
Filed under: Campylobacter jejuni
Lineage: Bacteria; Pseudomonadati; Campylobacterota; Epsilonproteobacteria; Campylobacterales; Campylobacteraceae
Description: bacterial SSU rRNA
Rfam family: Bacterial small subunit ribosomal RNA
Source: RNAcentral